This 269-nucleotide ribosomal RNA is filed under the name uncultured bacterium. RNAcentral describes it as "partial 16S ribosomal RNA". It matches the Rfam family "Bacterial small subunit ribosomal RNA", at positions 1234 to 1500 of the family's 1533-position model. The record is from RNAcentral.
CGGGUACAACGAGAAGCGAACCUGCGAAGGCAAGCGGAUCUCUUAAAGCCGUUCUCAGUUCGGACUGUAGGCUGCAACUCGCCUACACGAAGCUGGAAUCGCUAGUAAUCGCGGAUCAGCACGCCGCGGUGAAUACGUUCCCGGGCCUUGUACACACCGCCCGUCACACCAUGAGAGUCUGUAACACCCAAAGCCGGUGGGAUAACCUUUAUAGGAGUCAGCCGUCUAAGGUAGGACAGAUGAUUAGGGUGAAGUCGUAACAAGGUAAC